GAACGCACAUUGCGCCCGUCAGUAUUCUGACGGGCAUGCCUGUCCGAGCGUCAUUUCAACCCUCAAGCACCGCUUGGCGUUGGCGGAUUGCGUGCCCUCGCGGCGCUGCAACCGCCCAAAUACAGUGGCGGUCCCGCUGCGGCUCCCUUUGCGUAGUAACUCACCUCGCACUGGACCGGGCGGCGGCCUGCCGUAAAACCCCAACUUACGAAAUGUUGACCUCGGAUCAGGUAGGAAUACCCGCUGAACUUAAG
Molecule: unclassified non-coding RNA, 254 nt
Filed under: uncultured Hypocreales
Lineage: Eukaryota; Fungi; Ascomycota; Sordariomycetes; Hypocreales
Description: sequence contains 5.8S rRNA gene
Rfam family: 5.8S ribosomal RNA (bases 1-53)
Source: RNAcentral